UACUCAAAUUUGAGACUUAACGAGUCUAUGAGAGUUUUAGUUCAAUUAAUAUAUAUAUUUCAUGUGUUAUUAUUAAUAAUUAAUUUUAAAUCAUAUAUUUCAUUAUUUAUUAUAUGUAAUUUUUAAACAAAAAUUUAUUAUAUAAAUACAUUAUUUUCAUGCAUAUAACGUGAUAUCCCUUGCCUACAUUGUUCCAUUGACCAGAGGCUGUUCACCUUGGAGACCUGAUGCGGUUAUGAGUACGACCGGGUGCAGACGGCACUCGGUCCUCCAGAUUUUUAAGGGCCGCUUGGGGCGCACCGGACACCACGCGACGUGCGGUGCUCUUCCAGCCGCUGGACCCUACCUCCGGCUGAGCCGUUUCCAGUGUGGGCAGGCCGUUAAAUAGAAAAGAUAACUCUUCCCGAGGCCUUAAUUGGCCGGGUCGUUCCUCCGGUGCUGUUACUUUGAAGAAAUUAGAGUGCUCAAAGUAGGCCUACGCUUGUAUACAUUAGCAUGGGAUAACAUCAUAGGAUUUCAAUCCUAUUGUGUUGGCCUUCGGGAUCAGAGCAAUGAUUAAGAGGGACAAUCGGGGGCAUUCGUAUUUCAUAGUCAAAGGUGAAAUUCUUGGAUUUAUGAAAGAUGAACAACUACGAAAGCAUUUGCCAAGAAUGUUUUCAUUAAUCAAGAACGAAAGUUGGGGACUCGAAGACGAUCAGAUACUGUCCUAAUCUCAACCAUAAACGAUGCCGACCAGGGAUCGGCGGAUGUUGCUUUUAGGACUUUACCGACACCUUAUGAGAAAUCAAAGUCUUUGGGUUCCGGGGGGAGUAUGGUCGCAAGGCUAAAACUUAAAGGAAUUAACGGAAGGGCACCACCAGGAGUGGAGCCUGCGGCUUAAUUUGACUCAACACAGGGAAACUUACCAGGUCCAGACAUAGCAAGGAUUGACAGACUGAGAGCUCUUUCUUGAUUCUAUGGGUGGUGGUGCACGGCCGUUCUUAGUUGGUGGAGCAAUUUAUCUGGUUAAUUCUGUUAACGAACGAGACCUCAGCCUGCUAACUAGCUACACGGAGGUGAUCCUCCAUGGCUAGCUCCUUAGAGGGACUAUGGCCUUUUAGGCCACGAAAGUUUGAGGCAAUAACAGGUCUGUGAUGCCCUUAGAUGUUCUGGGCUGCACGCGCGCUACACUGAUGUAUUCAAUGAGUCUAUAGCCUUGGCCGACAUGCCCGGGCAAUCUUUGAAAUUUCAUCGUGAUGGGGAUAGAUCAUUGCAAUUGUUGGUCUUCAAUGAGGAAUUCCUAGUAAGCGUGAGUAAUCAGCUCGUGUUGACUACAUCCCUGCCUUUUGUACACACCGCUCAUUGCUCCUUCCAAUUGAAUGGUCCGGUGAAGUGUUCGGAUCACGGUGACGUGGGCUGUUCGCUACCUGCGACAUCUCUAGAAAUCCACUGAACCUUAUCAUUUAGAUAAAGGAGAAGUCAUAACAAGGUUUUUGUAGGUGAACCUGUGGAAGGAUCAUUG
Molecule: non-coding RNA, 1501 nt
Filed under: Gossypium arboreum
Lineage: Eukaryota; Viridiplantae; Streptophyta; Magnoliopsida; Malvales; Malvaceae
Description: Eukaryotic small subunit ribosomal RNA
Rfam family: Eukaryotic small subunit ribosomal RNA
Source: Rfam by way of RNAcentral